This 231-nucleotide ribosomal RNA is filed under the name uncultured Staphylococcus sp. RNAcentral describes it as "partial 16S ribosomal RNA". It matches the Rfam family "Bacterial small subunit ribosomal RNA", at positions 109 to 334 of the family's 1533-position model. The record is from RNAcentral. Lineage: Bacteria; Bacillati; Bacillota; Bacilli; Caryophanales; Staphylococcaceae.
AGUAACACGUGGAUAACCUACCUAUAAGACUGGGAUAACUUCGGGAAACCGGAGCUAAUACCGGAUAAUAUUUUGAACCGCAUGGUUCAAAAGUGAAAGACGGUCUUGCUGUCACUUAUAGAUGGAUCCGCGCUGCAUUAGCUAGUUGGUAAGGUAACGGCUUACCAAGGCAACGAUGCAUAGCCGACCUGAGAGGGUGAUCGGCCACACUGGAACUGAGACACAGUCAAG